RNAcentral lists this ribosomal RNA (206 nucleotides) under uncultured bacterium. RNAcentral describes it as "partial 16S ribosomal RNA". It matches the Rfam family "Bacterial small subunit ribosomal RNA", at positions 1289 to 1500 of the family's 1533-position model. The record is from RNAcentral.
CAGUUCGGAUUGGAGUCUGCAACCCGAACUCCAUGAAGCUGGAUUCGCUAGUAAUCGCGCAUCAGCCACGGCGCGGUGAAUACGUUCCCGGGCCUUGUACACACCGCCCGUCAAGCCAUGGAAGCCGGGGGGUGCCUGAAGUGCGCUGCCGCGAGGAGCGCCCUAGGGUAAAACCGGUGACUGGGGCUAAGUCGUAACAAGGUAAC